UCGUUUCCAUUUCUUCACCACCUUCAUAUACACCUCUUGCAAAAAAAUGAAAAGAAAAACCUACUACUACAAAAGUUUCUCUCCACCAUGAAAGUCAAAAGACCACAAUUAUCAUCAUAAAAAAGUACAAACCAACAUCAUAAAAACAAACCUUUUUCUUCAAACAAUCACCAACAUCCUCUCUUACUUCCCUAAACAACUUCAAACACCAUCAUCUUCUCACCUUGCUUCACAACAUCAAUAACAAAAACUUCAUCUCACCACAACAAAAUAUCAACAAUAUUUCAAAUCACUCAUAAGAUCAAAGAAAGGAGAAGAACAAUAGAAUCC
RNAcentral lists this long non-coding RNA (330 nucleotides) under Lathyrus oleraceus (garden pea). RNAcentral describes it as "Pisum sativum (pea) long non-coding RNA (PSAT_LNC026660)". Lineage: Eukaryota; Viridiplantae; Streptophyta; Magnoliopsida; Fabales; Fabaceae. The record is from RNAcentral.